AUGGCCAUGGGGAUCCGACACCACUGCGCAGGGACCGCUGGGGGCCAGCUGGGGCUAGGACCGCAGCGACGGCCCGAGCCCGGGAUACUGCGCGCGGGCGCGGAUGGCACAGGCGAGGGUCCCACUCCCCCGCCUCCCCCCCUCCCAUGGUCUGCGCCAGCAGCGCGGGAGCGCGGCGCCACGGACACCCAACGGGCAGAGGUCCACGCCUUGGAGGCUGAGAUCGCUGCCCUGCGACGGGCGUGCGAGGAACCGCGGGCUGCGGGGGAAGACAGUUGGCGAGCGCAAAAAUCACUUUGAGAAAUGUAUCAAUCAGAUUCUGAAGGAUGGGCCUCUUCAAAAGAUCUGAGAAGUCAUUUUGGACAUUUAGAAUCAGAACUUCGUUUUCUAAGCACAUUUACUGGCAUCAGUAUAAGAAAUUACUCCAUGAAGACAGAGGACCUUACAAACACUGAGAAGAAAGAAAAGAAUAUAAUGAAAGUUCUACAGAGACACAGAUUAUCAGGAAAUUGCCACAUGAUUACAUUUCAACUUGAAUUUCAGAUUCUGGAAAUCCAGAAUAAGGAGAGUUUAUCUUCUGUUAUUACUGACUUCAACAUAAUAAUGGAGCCCACUGAAUAUUCAGAAUUAAGUGAAUUUGUGUCUAGAGCAGAAGAAAGAAGAGAUCUGUUGAUGUUUUUCCGAAGCCUACACUUUUUUGUGGAGUGGUGUGAAUAUCGAAAGCGCACAUUUGAACACUUCAAGGAGAAGUACCCAGCAGCCGUGCACCUCCCAGAGGGGGCCGCCUCCAGCUGCAUGGCGGUCCGGAGCGCCUGCCAGCCAGGGUUCGAGCUGGUUAUCGUUUGGAGGGUGCAGAUAGAUGAAGAAGGGAAGGUUUUGCCGAAGCUGGAUCUUCUACCCAAAGCGCCACAGCAAGCCCUGAAGCUGGACUGGAACCGAGUCCUGGAGACCACGCCUCUCAGCUUCCGAGCCCUGAUGGGCACACUGGGCAUUGAAGCCGCCCUCGAGAGCCUGAUAAAGUCGCUCUGCACAGCAGACUACGACUAGUUCCGGGCAAACACGCAGGUGUGUGAUCUUCUUCCGCAUAAACAGUUUCUGUGUUCCACAGAGAAACAACAGCUUUAGGACACAUCUGUGCAGUUUCAGCACAUUCUAUAUAAACUGUCGGGACAUGGAAAAAUAAA
Odobenus rosmarus divergens (Pacific walrus) is the source of this 1184-nucleotide RNA transcript. It is a transcript of the gene named centromere protein P-like, with no coding region annotated. Lineage: Eukaryota; Metazoa; Chordata; Mammalia; Carnivora; Odobenidae. The transcript is spliced from 3 exons. The record is from RefSeq and is a predicted model, not a curated record.